Long non-coding RNA from Leguminivora glycinivorella, 295 nucleotides. RefSeq lists it as uncharacterized. NCBI's taxonomy places the organism in Eukaryota, Metazoa, Arthropoda, Insecta, Lepidoptera, Tortricidae. The record is from RefSeq and is a predicted model, not a curated record. The transcript has 3 exons.
GGCUAUGCCUCAAUUGAUAAAGUGAACUAAUUGCCUACUUCAAAAGCAGUUUUGCAUGAAAGUCAACAUCUAAUUGGAAUUUACAAUGCCCGAUAUUUCUACACAUCUGCCACAAAUUUUAUGGAAAACAAUAUUUAUAGAAACUGAACAUACCUUGGUUAAACGUAUAUGAAAUGGGUAACCAUCCUCGAAGAACAUCAACCAGCUGUCGGCAAUGUGCAGGUGGACUGAGGAAUCCCCAGUGCGUGGUCACGGACCGUUCCCCAUAUAUCUACUGACUUCAUAUAAAUGAAAG